ACUUGUGUCAAAUAUCUGUACGCGAGAUUUCCCCCACUCCCUAAACAUCACUAGAUCCACUGUUUCCGAUGUGACAGUGAAGUGGAAAUGUGAGGGGACAUGUACAGCACAAAAUCGCACAGUCUGACCUCGUCUGUUGACUGACGACAGAGACCGCCAACAGUUGAAGAGGGUCGUAAUGUGCACUAGGCAGACGUCUAUCGAGACCAACACACAGGAAUUCCAAACUGCAUCACGAGCCACUGCAUGUACUAUGAUAGUUAGGCGAGGGUGAGAAAACUUGGAUUUCAUGGUCGAGCGGCUGCUCAUAAGCCACACAUCACGCCGGUAAAUGCCAAACGACGACUCGCUUUGUGUACGGAGCGUAAACAUUGGGCAACUGAGCAGUGGAAAAACGUUGUGUGGAGUGACGAAUUACGGUACACAAUGCGGCGAUCCGAUGGCUGGGCGUGGGUAUGGCGAAUGUCCGGGGAACGCCAUCUGCCAGCAUGUGUAGUGCCAACAGUAAAAUUUGGAGGCGGUGGUGUUGUGGUAUGGUUGUGUGUUGCUUGCACCUCUUGUUGUUUUGUGUGGCACUAUCACAGCACAAGCCUACAUUGAUCUUUUAAGCACCUUCUUGCUUCCCACUGUUGAAGAGCAAUUAGGGGGUGGUGAUUGCAUCUUUCAACAUGAUUAAGCUGCUGUUCAUAAUGCACGGCCUGUGGCAGAGUGGUUACAUGGCAAUAACAUCCUUGCAACAGACUGGCCUGUAGUCCUGACCUGAAUCCUAUAUAACACCUUUGGGAUGUUUUGGAAUGCCGACUUCAUGCCAGGCCUCACCUACCAACACUGAUACCUCUCCUCAGUGCAGCACUCCGUGAAGAAUGGGCUGCCAUUCACCAAAAAACCUUCCAGCACUUGAACUUACAUAUGCCUGCGAAAGUGGAAGCUGUCAUCAAGGCUAAGGGUGGGCCAACACCAUAUUGAAUUCCAGCAUUACUGACAGAGGAUGCCACGAACUUUUAAGUCAUUUUCAGCCAGGUAUCCAAAUAGUUUUGAUCACAUACUGUAUCAUCAAUGAGCCUGAACCAGAGCAGGGGUUUUGGGAGGAUAGGAAAGUUUCCUCCAGAUGGCCCAGGUUGCCAUAGGAGGGUGCCAUGCGGGUGCCCAUAGCUGUGCUUCAGAUUUGUUUGUAAACCUUCCGUUCAAAGGAGAAGUCGCUAUAUGUUAGGAUAAUGUUAGUUAGGUGCUGUGUCUGGAGUGAAGGAUGUUGGAAAAGUUAAUCUUUGAUUGCAGCAAGAUCAUGGGUACAAGCUAUGUUGGUGUUUACAGAUGUGGCGUCAACAGUGACCACUAGGUUGAUUUGGUUAAGGAACUGAUUAGUAUCUUCCAUGCGGGAGGCUAGAUUACAGGCAAUUUGUUGGAGGUUUUGGUCAAUGAGGGCCAAAAUUCUUUCAGUGCAGGCACAAUAACCAGCUACAAUGAUGUGGCCAGGACUGUUGAAUUUUUAAAUUUUGGGGAGCAUGUAGAAGGUGGGUUUGCAGCGUGUCAGAGGUGAGGAGGGAAAUGGACUUAGGGGAGAGGUUCUGGAAGGGCCUAAUGCUUUAAGCAUAGAUGAGAGGUUAUUUUGGACUUCUUGGAUGGGAUCAUUCUGGCAGAAUUUAUAGGUGAUGACUCAAACAAUUUUCUAAUGCUUUCCAAGAGAUAACCACUGUGACUCAUCACAACAAUGGUGGAGCCCUUGUCUGCAAGGAUGAUUAGGUCAGGAUCUGUUUCGAGAUUCUGUAUGGCUGUCCUUUCCUCUACUGAAAGGUUAGCUUUCUUAGGAAGGGGCAUGGGGAAGAAUGGUGAGGCCAAAACCCAUGCCAUCUGGAUUGUCUGCUCCACCAACAGCUUUAUUGAACUGUGCAGAUGGGAAUUUCCUUACAACACAUUCUACAUUCCAAAUUAUCCCAUCCUCAACCUACUGUCCCAACAGUUCCACCCCAUUUGUCCUAUUACUUUCUCCAUUUUCACAUAUGCCACCCCCAUUGUGUGCCACUUUCUGCCAUUGCACCCACCUGUCCUUUCCCUUCCCCUUCCUGCCCCUCUCAUCUCUUUCCCUUUUUAUCCCCUACAACCCACCUCCUGGCACUGCACUUGGCAGUCUUGUCAAGCCACCAUCUAUUCCCUGCAUGCCCCGCCAGACAACACUCUUCUCUCCCCCCACCCAUAUAAUGGAAGACUUGAAUACAAAAGUUUGCUAAGAAAAUGAAUGGCUCGAAUACAGUACCAUUGCACACAGCAUAGCAAAUACUAACGCAAAUGAUGUGUGUGCUGAGCGUGAGCUUAUCAUUGCUGGCACAGACAUCCACAUCGCAACUGCCUUAAGAUAAUGUGGGUCUCGUUACCAAAUGUCAGAAAUAAGAAAGGAGUGGAUGUCAUCAGAAGAAACCACCACCUAGUUUUGGCUGACUUCAGAUUGAAGACAGUGGCAAACAGCGCUCAAUCACAGGAGCAAAAACAUACAAGUGGUAAAGUUAAUCAAAGAAAGAUUCACCUUUAACAACAAAACAGAUUCCAGGUCCUCUCUGACAAAACUUUAUGCAUGUAGGAAGUGAAAUAGGUUGGCAAAAACUUAAAGACAGCUAUCUAGCUGUCAGAGAGACAAUAUUAGGAUUUAAGUCAUAUCAAAAGAAAGGCUGGAUCUCUGAUGACAUGUGAGAAGAAAUAGGCCACAGGAGAGAACGAAAAAGUUAAAUCUUUGCAAGACAAGAAUGUAAAACAUCAAAAUGCGUGAAGAGUACACAGAGAAAAAUGAAACAGAGAAAAUGUCUUAUCGCUACGAUAAAAGGAAUGAACAGGUGCCCAAGCACAGUUAGCAGAAGAGGCAGCAAGACUGGAAAAUAUAAAAGAAAGGAUGGGGGCUGAUUACAAAUGAAAAGGCACAGCUACAGAGAUGGGAGGAGCAGUCCCAAGAGGAACAAGUAAGGGAUAUUCCAGAGAAAGUCAUACCAGAUCAAGAUAUAAAUCUGCAGUAUCCCACAAUGGGUGAAAUUAGGAAUGCUUUGAAAAGCCUAAAAAAAGGCAAAGGCUCCAGGGCUAGACAAAAUGGCACAGAGCUGUUGAAAGCUGAUAUCAAAAGUGCCAUUAAAAUAUGCUCCACUCCUUGCUGAAGCAUGCUCCACUCCUUGCUGAAGCAUAUUUGUCUCUUAAACAUCAAAAGGAGUGGAAAAGUGGACUGGAGGUAAAACUACCAAAAAAUGGCUCAUGAUUGCCAUGGUAUUACAUAGCUGUCAGUGCCCAAUAAUGCCCUCAUUCAAUUGAAAAUAAAUUGCACAAAGAACAGGCUGGUUUUCGGGCACAACUCUUAGGAUCAUAUCAGAGCAAAGCAAAACAUUCCAGGCAACCAUGAACCUGUAUUUUGAAAAGGGCUUCAAUAGCGAUCAAGUUCUGUGGCAAGUGUUACGAAUGGGUGGUAUACCACAGAAGAUUCUAAACAUAAUCAAACAUCUGUAUAAUGACUAAAAAUGUGUACUCCAUGAGGGAAAUCUCGCAGGUCCAACAGAGGUAACAACCACAGUCUGGCAGGGUUGUAUUUUGUCACCGACACUCUUCCUACUUGUUCUUGACUCAAUUAUGAGAAGAAUCACAGUGGGCAGGAGAUGAGGAAUACAUGAACAUCUGGAGGAUUUGGAUUUUUCACAUGAUAGUUUCAAUAGCUCAAAGGCUGGUGGGUAUGAAAGUUAAAUUAAACUCACUGAGAAAAGCAGCAGAGAUUGCUAGGAUCCGGAUAAAUGCGGGUAACACAGAAAAAAUGAGAAUAAAUUCUGGGAACAUGGAAGUGCCACUGCUUGUAUGGAACCAUCAAAUUGAGAUUAGUCAGUUCAUACCUAUAUCUGGAUAGUGUGGUUGUGACAUUAUUGUUCAUUUAUUUUUUUUUGUAAAUAUUUUAUUGAAACUGUUAAAGCAGAAGUAGAGACAUCUCGUUUGAAGCGAAAUGGAUACUGAAACUCUUUGAUAGGAUUAAAGUGAAUGUACAUAUUAAGAAAAAGGGUGUAAUAUUUACUUUUAAAUAUUGUAAAGAUAUCUAUUUGUUAUAAUUAUUAAAUGUAAAAAGGUGCUAUAAUGUAAUUAUCUGUAGUAGUUACUGGCACUCACUUAGGGCUGUAUGAGAUAUGUGUAGUAUAAAAGAUGGAGGAACGGAAAGCUGUGUAAGUGUAGGAAAAGGUGGGAGCGGAAACGUUUGGCGCGCUUUGGCAGGCGCAAACAAAGUCAGUCGGUGGCCAGAGAUCUUAGAGGCAGCACAUACAGUGCCAGCAUAGUGUGGAGUGUGCCAUAUUGUUGCAUCUUGCCUUGGUAUCAUCGCUAUGAAGAGGAAAUAAGUCUGACAUGGAUAACUGCUCUUGGCCGCUCUGAUAUUAAUGCAGUUGUUUGCCACCAUCGCUGAUCACAGCUUACAGGGUACGACAUUUUAGCUAUGUAUUAUAGUGUGUGCCAGGAAGUUAAAAUGUGCUUUUAGAAUAAUAACCAUCAUCCAAAUUAACAA
Molecule: long non-coding RNA, 4507 nt
Organism: Schistocerca serialis cubense
Lineage: Eukaryota; Metazoa; Arthropoda; Insecta; Orthoptera; Acrididae
Exons: 2
Source: RefSeq, a predicted model, not a curated record